UGCUGGAGGGUUCACCUUAAAUCAUUGCACCAAAUAUUGCCGCUGCCUCGUUCCCUGCAGGGAGUAUGACUGAUUAACCACCCCUCCUUUCUGUCCCUCUCGUUCCUUUAUUAAUCUUCAUGAUAAGAUUUGACCCGCUCUCUGAUACAUUUCUCUUUUCUUUUCUUGACAUAGAUUAUGACACCUGUUCUUUCAAAGUCAAAGUUACAGAACCCAAACAUGUACGCACCCAGAAAAGGAAACCAGAAAGAAGGUGCCACAACACAAACACACCCCUAGAGGACCUGGUGCAAAGAAGACCAUCGCCGCCGGAGAAGAGAGGGACAUGACGCUGCU
Molecule: long non-coding RNA, 336 nt
Filed under: Triticum aestivum (bread wheat)
Lineage: Eukaryota; Viridiplantae; Streptophyta; Magnoliopsida; Poales; Poaceae
Description: long non-coding RNA (TAES_LNC006238)
Source: RNAcentral